Molecule: small nucleolar RNA, 189 nt
Filed under: Candida maltosa Xu316
Lineage: Eukaryota; Fungi; Ascomycota; Pichiomycetes; Serinales; Debaryomycetaceae
Description: Small nucleolar RNA snR35
Rfam family: Small nucleolar RNA snR35
Source: Rfam by way of RNAcentral
UUUUUCUUUUCUUUGUGCGGCAGCCAAAGCUAUUACCGUGUUGCUUGUCUGUUCUAUUUAUCCUAACGAGUUGGCGAGCGUCAAGCUUUUGGCGAGAUUAAAAUCUUUAACACAACCGGUCAUCUUAGCGCCCUUUCAUUAGAAACUUUUAUUCAACGUAUUUAGUGAGGGCCGGAAGACCAAACAUUU